Small nucleolar RNA from Cyprinodon variegatus (sheepshead minnow), 79 nucleotides. The record is from Ensembl. NCBI's taxonomy places the organism in Eukaryota, Metazoa, Chordata, Actinopteri, Cyprinodontiformes, Cyprinodontidae.
AAACCUUAAUGAUGAUUUGCAUGUGAGUCCGUGUUUCACCUGAAGCCGAUGAUUAUACUUUCACUGCACUGAUGGGUUU